AGAGUUUGAUCCUGGCUCAGGAUGAACGCUAGCGGCAGGCUUAACACAUGCAAGUCGAGGGGCAUCGGGAGGAAAGCUUGCUUUCCUUGCCGGCGACCGGCGCACGGGUGAGUAACACGUAUGCAACCUGCCCUCUUCAGGGGGACAACCUUCCGAAAGGGAGGCUAAUCCCGCGUAUAUCGGUUUCGGGCAUCCGAGAUCGAGGAAAGAUUCAUCGGAAGAGGAUGGGCAUGCGGCGCAUUAGCUUGACGGCGGGGUAACGGCCCACCGUGGCGACGAUGCGUAGGGGUUCUGAGAGGAAGGUCCCCCACACUGGUACUGAGACACGGACCAGACUCCUACGGGAGGCAGCAGUGAGGAAUAUUGGUCAAUGGGAGAGAUCCUGAACCAGCCAAGCCGCGUGAGGGAAGGCGGCCCUAUGGGUUGUAAACCUCUUUUGUCGGAGAACAAAACCCGGGACGUGUCCCGGACUGCGUGUAUCCGAAGAAAAAGCAUCGGCUAACUCCGUG
RNAcentral lists this ribosomal RNA (509 nucleotides) under uncultured Bacteroidales bacterium. RNAcentral describes it as "bacterial SSU rRNA". It matches the Rfam family "Bacterial small subunit ribosomal RNA", at positions 8 to 507 of the family's 1533-position model. The record is from RNAcentral. Lineage: Bacteria; Pseudomonadati; Bacteroidota; Bacteroidia; Bacteroidales.